Molecule: ribosomal RNA, 985 nt
Filed under: human gut metagenome
Description: bacterial LSU rRNA
Rfam family: Bacterial large subunit ribosomal RNA
Source: RNAcentral
AACGGUCCUAAGGUAGCGAAAUUCCUUGUCGGGUAAGUUCCGACCCGCAUGAAAGGCGUAAUGAUUUGGGCACUGUCUCAACGAGGGGCCCGGUGAAAUUGAAAUACCUGUGAAGAUGCAGGUUACCCGCGACUGGACAGAAAGACCCCAUGGAGCUUCACUGCAGCUUGAGAUUGAAUCCCGGUGACAGAUGCACAGGAUAGGUGGGAGGCGCCGAAGCAUUGCCCUAGGGCGGUGCGGAGCCGAUGUUGGGAUACCACCCUUCUGUUGCUGAGAUUCUAACGCGAGGAGUAACGACCCUGCGGACCCUCUCAGGCAGGCGGUUUGACUGGGGCGGUCGCCUCCGAAAGAGUAACGGAGGCGCCCAAAGGUUCCCUCAGGCCGGACAGAAACCGGCCGAAGAGUGCAAAGGCAGAAGGGAGCUUGACUGCGAGACCCACAAGUCGAGCAGAGACGAAAGUCGGGCUUAGUGAUCCGGUGGUACUGAGUGGAAAGGCCAUCGCUCAACGGAUAAAAGCUACCCUGGGGAUAACAGGCUAAUCUCUCCCAAGAGUUCAUAUCGACGGGGAGGUUUGGCACCUCGAUGUCGGCUCAUCACAUCCUGGGGCUGAAGUAGGUCCCAAGGGUAUGGCUGUUCGCCAUUUAAAGUGGUACGCGAGCUGGGUUUAGAACGUCGUGAGACAGUUCGGUCCCUAUCUGCCGUGGGCGCUGGAGAACUGAGGGGGGCUGCUCCUAGUACGAGAGGACCGGAGUGGACGCAUCACUGGUGUUCGGGUUGUCAUGCCAAUGGCACUGCCCGGUAGCUAAAUGCGGAAGAGAUAAGUGCUGAAAGCAUCUAAGCACGAAACUUGCCCCGAGAUGAGUUCUCCCUGACUCCUUGAGAGUCCUGAAGGAACGUUGAAGACGACGACGUUGAUAGGCCGGGUGUGUAAGCGCAGCGAUGCGUUGAGCUAACCGGUACUAAUGAACCGUGAGGCUUAACCUU